AGGCUCAUGAGCAAAUAUAUAAUCAAUUAUAUAUACCCAUAUUUCUUUUCAUCCUGUUUCUUUUUUCCUGAUGCUCCAAGUUUCUUUUUUUUAUCAUUACUUUUCUGUUUAAAGAACUUUCUUUAGCCAUCUUUCUAACAAUAGGUCUAAUAAACAGAGAGCAGAAUGAUGGUUACUAGGGGCUUGAGGGGGAGGAGGAUGGGGAGAUGCUAGUCAAAGGUUAUAAGCCUUCAUUUAAAGUACAGUGUGGUGGCUAUAGUUAAUAAUACUAUCUUGUGUACUUAAAAUUUCCUUAGAGAGUAGACAUUAAGCAUUCUCACCACACAUACAGAAAAAGGAACUUUGUAAGGCAAUGGAUGUAUUAAUUAGCCUGAUUAUAGUAAUCAUUUCAUAAAGUAUAUGAAGGUCAAAUCAUUACAUUGUAUAUCUUAAAUGUAAAGAAUUUUAUUUGCCAAUUAUACCUCAAAACUGAUACUAAGAAAGAAUAGAUCUAUUAGUGACAAAUUCUUUGUAUUCUCUCUCACAUGGGAAUAUUUCUGUAUUUCCUUAAUUUAUAAAAGUGGUGGACACUUCUUUCCUUUCAGCGUUUAAAGUAAUUUUUGUAGCUUCCUUCUGGCCUCCAUGGUAUCACAUGAGAAAUAUGCUGUCAUUUGAAUUUGUGUUUUCCUAUAGUUCAUGUGUUGUUUCUCUCUGGCUGCUUUAAAAAUUAUUUUCUUUGAUUUUAGUUUUCAGAAUUUUAAUUGUGCUGUUUCUUGGCAGGGAUUUCUUUGAAUGCAUUCUAUUUGAUAUUUACUUAACUUUAUGAACUUGUAAGUUCUUGUUUUCCAUCAAAUUAGGGAAAUUUUAAGCUGUUAUUUAUGUGAAUAUUCCUUUAGUCCUACCCUCUCCUCUCCUUCUGGCACUGUGAUGAUACAAAUUUUGUUUCACAGAUCACUGAGGCUCUAUUCCUUUUUUCUCUCUAUUAUUUAGAUUGGGUAAAUUCCAUUGAUCUGUCAUUCCUACCUACUGAGCCUAUCUAGUGAGUUUUCUUAUAUCUGUUAUUUGGCCACUAUUUGUAAUAACUAAGAUAAAUAAAAAUUUCAAGUUGUGAUGUUUUAUCUAUUCUUUUCUAGUUAUUGCACUAUUUCUAUUUUGUUGUCAUGUCAGCUAGGACCAUCAUUAAAAUGCUUAAUAAUAGAAGUCAUGAUAUCUUUUUAUUUUGCUCUUUUUUUUUUAGGGCUGAACCCAUGCCAUAUGGAGGUUCCCAGGCUAGGGGUCUAAUCGGAGCUACAGCUACCAGCCUACACCACAGCCACAGUAAUGCCAGAUCCAAGCCAUGUCUGUGACCUACACCAAGCUCAUGGCAAUGCCAGAUCCUUAACCCACUGAGCAAGGCCAGGGAUCAAACCUGCCUUCUCAUGGAUCCUAGUCAGAUUCAUUUCCACUGAGCCAUGAUGGGAACUCCAGAAAAAUAUGAUAUUUUUCAUGUAGCUUUUCUUCUCCUUUUCUUUCUUUCUUUUUUUUUUUUUGUAGUCAUCUUUGGUUAAGGAAGUUUUUCCUUUAUCUUGCUAGAAAUUUUUAUAUUGAUGAUGCAUUAAAUUUCAUCAAGUCCUUUUUUACAUCAGUGAGAUGUUAAUGUUUUUCCUUCAAAUCUUUUAAAUAAGCAAAUUACAAAGACAGACUAUCAAAUCUAUGUGCCAUCCUAAUAUAUAUCUGACUUAUUUCUACUUUAUUAUUUCAAAUCCUCCUUGAAUUCAAUUUUCUCAUAUUUUAUUAGGAUUUUCCUUUUAUGCUUAUACCUGAGUUUGAUUACUAAUUGUAUAUAGUGCACUUCUUGUCCAGUUUGGCAUCAAGUUUAUGCUAACCAUUGGAAAGGAUUUUAUAGGAAUUCCUGCUGUUGUGCAGUAGGUUAGGAAUCCUGCAUUGUCUCUGUGGCAGCAUGGGUUCUAUCCCCAGCUUGGUGCAGUGGGUUAAGGAUCCAGCAUUGCCACAUUUAUAAUAUUCUCUGUGUUCUAAAUUUCUGGAACAAUGUGCCUAAGAUGAAAGUUACAUGUUUCUUAAAGUUUUUGUUUAAUACCCCAUAGAAGGUCAUAAAAUGGUAGUAAAAAACACCCCCUAGAAGGAUAUGAAAUAGUAGUGAAAUAUAAUUUUCAAAGAUUUGUUUUCUUUAGAGUUUAUUGGUCUAUUCAACUUUUCUACUUUUUAUUUGGAAAUUUUUGUGUACCUUUAUAUUUCUAAAUUAUUAUCUACUUUAUGAGUGCAAAUAUUUUUGCAUAAAUAUGUACAUAGUCUACUGAUGUGGUAAUCAUCUGAUGUUUUUGUAUUUUACCUUUCCAAUUUUGAUUAUACUUAUCGAGGUUUGUGUUUUUAAUUAGUUUUCUGAAACAACUUUAUUUUAUAAAUAAGUUCUACUGCUUUUUUAUCUUCUCAUUUUCAGCUUUUACAUUUAUUAAUUAAUUUAGAUUGAUUUUUUUUUCAUUUUGCAGUUCCCUUUCUGGUUUUAUAUUUCAAUACUUAAAUUGUUUGUUUUACUCUCCCAUAUUCAGGUACAUUUCCUUCUUCUUAUUACAUUGGCUAUACCUCACACAUAGUGUUUUUGUUAUCAUUUACUUCUAAAUUUUUUUUUAAUUUCUUAUUCAAUUUCUCUUUAAUCAAGGUUAUUUUGUAGCUGUCUUUCUUCUUCUUAAUUUCUAAAUUGUACGGAAUUUAGACAGCACCCUUUAAAAAUUAUUUCUCAAUCUAUUGAAUUUUAGUGUGUGGAUAUGGUUGGUACAAUGUGAUUAUUUUUAAUUAGUUAAGACAUUUUUUGUCAAAUUCUGCAAAUAUUCCAAAUAUGUUUUUGCUCUACCUCUAAAUAAAGAUUAUGCUUUUUUCCCCAGUUUGUUGGUUAAUUUGGUUAUUGAAAUCCUCUAUAAACCUUCUUAUUUGAUUUACUGGUUUCUGAGAAAGAUUUGCUUAAAUCUCCUAUUAUUGCAUGUUUUUCAAAUUCUCCCUUGAGACUUAGUCAACAUGUGCUUACUUUAACAAAAAUAUGUUGGGAUAUGUAAGCUAAUGUUCAUGACUUUUAUAGGUUAUAGUUGAUUUUUCUUUAACAAUACAUACUUUCUUACUUUGCCCCACUUAAUGCUUUCUGUAAUGAAACCUGUUUUACCUACACCUGCUUUUAUUUUAACAUUUACUUCAUGUAAAAUUUUUAUUCAUUUAUUUAUCACCUUUUCUGCCAUCUUACUAAGGUGCCACUCUUAUUAGCAGUCAUCCUUAGACUUUUAAAAAAUCCAAUUUGAGGAUCUCUAUCUGACAGUAGAUAAUUUUAAUCAAUUAAAGUUUAUGUGAAUUCUGAUAGAUUCAGCUUUAUUCCUGCCAUCUUAUUUUGUGUUUUCUCUUUCAUUAUUUUAUUCUAUUCCUAUUUUAUGUUGGAUGAUCAAAUUUAUGUUUGACUUUCCUAUUAUUUGUUUAGAAACUGAAUUCAUAACUCUAAUUCUUUGAGUAUCCACAUAUUAGCAUACUCUUAAUAAAUAUCUAAAAAUAGCAUUAGUCUUUUGCAUUUUCUCUCUCCUUCCUUCAGUGGUCCUACUUAUUUGUAUCAGUUACUCCUUUUUAUCUGCAAUUUCAGGUCUUUCUUCAUUUUAAAUUUUAAAUAUUCUUUUACAUAUUUCAGGUCUCUUAUUUUGGUACAUAGUUAUCUGGUUUUUUCCUUAAUCCAUCUUCUAUGUUAUCACCUCUCUUAUCAUUUUAUUGCCUUUAUUUUUUCCUUGUUCUUCUAUGUAAUCUUAGAAAGCUAUUUUAGGUACUCUACACAUAACUAAUUUAUGUUGUAAUAAUCAUCCGUGCUUGUAAUGCUUUUUUGAAAUAUGUUACAGUAUUCAUUUCCCUCUACACUUUUUUUCAUUAUACUACCUAUAUCUUUUAUCUCUAUUUUAUUUCAUCAGCAUAGCUUUCAUCUCCUCUCUAGAUUUCAGUUUAUUUCUGUGAACAUAGUGCAGAUGCUGGCUAAAAUUUCCUCUUAUUCUUGCAAUCAUUUUAACAAACUAUAUCCUCUGUAUCUCUUUAGUGUUACCUUUAUUUCUUAUUCUGAAAAAUCUUUUGGCCCACUUGUUAGUUCUUUCUGUUGCAAACUUGAAUGUUGCCUGAUAUUUGUCCAAAGUGUGGAUGGAUUCUCCUUAGAUUCCUUCAUUAGUCUCUAGGAUACUCAUAAAAUCUUUUGUUCACAACUUUAAUUUGAAAGUUGAUUAAAAUAAGUUUUUUUAAUCUGUUUGGUGAUUCAGUAACCUGAAGGUAAUGGUAAGAUGCUAUUGUAUUGAGCAGCCCUGGUAUAUAGUAAUUUUAUUUUUUCAUAGAUUUUAUUUCAAGAAUCAACUUUCUGCAUUUAGUUUUUCAUUAGCCUGACUUCCACUUCAGACACAUAAUUCAUUGUCCAUUUUUAUUCUUGGUGCUGGUGCCCACAAUGCCAGAGAAAACCCUGAUAUAUUAAGAAAUGAUUUUAAAGUCCUAAAUAAAUGAAGAGAUUUACCUCGUUCAUGGAUCUGAAGAUUCACUGUUGUGGAGAUAUUGACAAUUCCCAAAGUGAUUCAUAGAGUCAAAUUAAUGCCAGUCAAAAUCUCAGCAGGAGCUUUGCUUAUAAAUUGAAAACUCAUUCUACAAUUCAUAUGGAAAAGUAAAGUUACUAGAAUAGCUAAUAAAAUAAUUCUGAACAAUACCUUAUUACAAGAUUUACAAUAAAUCUAAUGUAAUCAAAACAAAAUGAUACUGACAAAGAGACACACAUAUCAAUGAACAAAAUAGAGAAAUCAGAAAUAGACACACAGGUAUGUUCCCGUCGUGGCGCAGUGGUUAACGAAUCCGACUAGGAACCAUGAGGUUGCGGGUUCGAUCCCUACCCUUGCUCAGUGGGUUAAUGAUCCGGCGUUGCCGUGAGCUGUGGUGUAGGUUGUAGACGCGGCUUGGAUCCCACGUUGCUGUGGCUCUGGCGUAGGCUGGUGGCUACAGCUCCGAUUGGACCCCUAGCCUGGGAACCUCCAUGUGCGACAGGAGCGGCCCAAGAAAU
This 5023-nucleotide long non-coding RNA is filed under the name Sus scrofa (pig). RNAcentral describes it as "lncRNA (ENSSSCG00000043010.1)". Lineage: Eukaryota; Metazoa; Chordata; Mammalia; Artiodactyla; Suidae. The record is from RNAcentral.